AUUUCCGGUUGAUCCUGCCGGAGGUUACCGCUAUCGGGAUUCGAUUAAGCUAUGCGAGACGAGAGUCAUCUGGACUCGUCGAACUGCUCAGUAACACGUAGCUAACUUACCCUCAAGUGGAGGAUAAUCCUGCGAAAGUGGGGCUAACACUCCAUAGCUGUCAGGUGCUGGAACUGCUCUGACAGUCAAAACUUUUGUGCUUGAGGAUAGGGCUGCGGCCUAUCAUGGCUGUUGUGAGUGUAAUGUACUCACAAACCUGUAACGGGUAGGGGUCAUGAAAGUGAGAGCCUCGAGAUGCUUUCUGAGACAUGAAAGCAGGUCCUACGGGACGCAGCAAGCGCGAAACCUUUCCAAUUGCUAAACGGCUGAGAAGGGAAUCCUGAGUGGGUAUACAAUGUAUAUCCUUUUGUUUUGCCUCGAAAGCAAGACGAAUAAGUGGUGGGUAAGACGAGUGGCAGCCGCCGCGGUAAUACUCGCGCCACAAGUGGUAACCGCUGUUAUUGGGUUUAAAGCGUCCGUAGCUGGUCAAGCAAGUUCUUGGUGAAAUCUGGCAGUUGACUGUCAGGCGUGCUGAGAAUACUACUAGACUUGGGAUUGGGAGAGGGUAGGGGUAUUC
This 616-nucleotide ribosomal RNA is filed under the name uncultured archaeon. RNAcentral describes it as "bacterial SSU rRNA". It matches the Rfam family "Archaeal small subunit ribosomal RNA", at positions 1 to 620 of the family's 1478-position model. The record is from RNAcentral.